UACGUAGGGCGCAAGCGUUAUCCGGAAUUAUUGGGCGUAAAGAGCUCGUAGGCGGUUUGUCGCGUCUGCCGUGAAAGUCCGGGGCUUAACUCCGGAUCUGCGGUGGGUACGGGCAGACUAGAGUGAUGUAGGGGAGACUGGAAUUCCUGGUGUAGCGGUGAAAUGCGCAGAUAUCAGGAGGAACACCGAUGGCGAAGGCAGGUCUCUGGGCAUUAACUGACGCUGAGGAGCGAAAGCAUGGGGAGCGAGCAGG
RNAcentral lists this ribosomal RNA (253 nucleotides) under uncultured bacterium. RNAcentral's name for it is "partial 16S ribosomal RNA". It matches the Rfam family "Bacterial small subunit ribosomal RNA", at positions 524 to 776 of the family's 1533-position model. The record is from RNAcentral.